CAGUCGCCGCGGUAAUACGUAGGGUGCGAGCGUUAAUCGGAAUUACUAGGCGUAAAGCGUGCGCAGGCGGUUUUGUAAGACAGGCGUGAAAUCCCCGGGCUCAACCUGGGAAUGGCGCUUGUGACUGCAAAGCUAGAGUGCGGCAGAGGGGGAUGGAAUUCCGCGUGUAGCAGUGAAAUGCGUAGAUAUGCGGAGGAACACCGAUGGCGAAGGCAAUCCCCUGGGCCUGCACUGACGCUCAUGCACGAAAGCGUGGGGAGCGAACAGGAUUAGAUACCCCAGUAGUCCCUGUCUCUUAUAC
Molecule: ribosomal RNA, 301 nt
Filed under: uncultured bacterium
Lineage: Bacteria
Description: partial 16S ribosomal RNA
Rfam family: Bacterial small subunit ribosomal RNA
Source: RNAcentral